This 462-nucleotide ribosomal RNA is filed under the name uncultured bacterium. Its description in RNAcentral is "bacterial SSU rRNA". It matches the Rfam family "Bacterial small subunit ribosomal RNA", at positions 28 to 466 of the family's 1533-position model. The record is from RNAcentral.
GACGAACGCNGGCGGCGUGCUUAACACAUGCAAGUCGAACGAAGAGCGAUGGAAGCUUGCUUCUAUCAAUCUUAGUGGCGAACGGGUGAGUAACGCGUAAUCAACCUGCCCUUCAGAGGGGGACAACAGUUGGAAACGACUGCUAAUACCGCAUACGAUCUAAUCUCGGCAUCGAGGAUAGAUGAAAGGUGGCCUCUACAUGUAAGCUAUCACUGAAGGAGGGGAUUGCGUCUGAUUAGCUAGUUGGAGGGGUAACGGCCCACCAAGGCGAUGAUCAGUAGCCGGUCUGAGAGGAUGAACGGCCACAUUGGGACUGAGACACGGCCCAGACUCCUACGGGAGGCAGCAGUGGGGAAUCUUCCGCAAUGGACGAAAGUCUGACGGAGCAACGCCGCGUGAGUGAUGACGGCCUUCGGGUUGUAAAGNUCUGUUAAUCGGGACGAAAGNCCUUCUUGCGAAUAG